This 363-nucleotide ribosomal RNA is filed under the name uncultured bacterium. Its description in RNAcentral is "bacterial SSU rRNA". It matches the Rfam family "Bacterial small subunit ribosomal RNA", at positions 8 to 353 of the family's 1533-position model. The record is from RNAcentral.
AGAGUUUGAUCAUGGCUCAGGAUGAACGCUGGCGGCGUGCUUAACACAUGCAAGUCGAACGAAGCACUUCAAUCGAUUUCUUCGGAAUGAAGUUUUAGUGACUGAGUGGCGGACGGGUGAGUAACGCGUGGGUAACCUGCCUCACACAGGGGGAUAACAGUUGGAAACGGCUGCUAAUACCGCAUAAGCGCACAGUACCGCAUGGUACAGUGUGAAAAACUCCGGUGGUGUGAGAUGGACCCGCGUCUGAUUAGCUAGUUGGCAGGGCAACGGCCUACCAAGGCGACGAUCAGUAGGGGUUCUGAGAGGAAGGUCCCCCACAUUGGAACUGAGACACGGUCCAAACUCCUACGGGAGGCAGCA